CACAAUGUUUGUUAUUAGUCACAAUUUCACAAAGAUAUUCAUUCUCCUUUCAAUCCCAGAACAAAGAGUGCCUCGGGGGAAAACACCAGCAGCCACACCAUCCAAAAAGCAUCUCUGCAUCGUGCAGCUCUUCCCCAGCCUACAGUACAAGCCAUGGAGGAAAGAGCACAGCAGCGUGCCGAGCGCCGGAGAGAGAUAGAGGAGCGGAGGAGACAGAAACAGGAGGAGAAACUGGCUCAAAUGAAGUCAGCUGAGGAGGAAAGACUCAGAGCUGAGGAAGAGGAGAAACAAGGGGAGGUAGAGAGGAAGAAGGAAGAGAAGAGGCAGCAGAGAAAGGUGUGUGGUCAAACACAUUAUCAUGGGUUUUACAUCAUUGGAUCAUGUUACUUUUAAU
This 394-nucleotide long non-coding RNA is filed under the name Sinocyclocheilus grahami. RNAcentral's name for it is "lncRNA (ENSSGRG00000045896.1)". Lineage: Eukaryota; Metazoa; Chordata; Actinopteri; Cypriniformes; Cyprinidae. The record is from RNAcentral.